GCCGUGAUCGUCUAGUGGUUAGGACAUUGCGUCACGGCCGCAAUAACCCAGGUUCGAAUCCUGGUCAUGGAA
RNAcentral lists this transfer RNA (72 nucleotides) under Cordylochernes scorpioides. RNAcentral describes it as "tRNA-Arg". It matches the Rfam family "tRNA". Rfam says of the family: Transfer RNA (tRNA) molecules are approximately 80 nucleotides in length. Their secondary structure includes four short double-helical elements and three loops (D, anti-codon, and T loops). Lineage: Eukaryota; Metazoa; Arthropoda; Arachnida; Pseudoscorpiones; Chernetidae. The record is from RNAcentral.